Molecule: ribosomal RNA, 538 nt
Filed under: uncultured Glomeromycotina
Lineage: Eukaryota; Fungi; Glomeromycota
Description: SSU rRNA
Rfam family: Eukaryotic small subunit ribosomal RNA
Source: RNAcentral
AGGGCAAGUCUGGUGCCAGCAGCCGCGGUAAUUCCAGCUCCAAUAGCGUAUAUUAAAGUUGUUGCAGUUAAAAAGCUCGUAGUUGAAUUUCGGGGUUCUACCGUUGGUCGGGCUUUGUCUGUACUGGCGUGUAGAAUUUCUACCUUCUGGGGAACCAUUAUGUUAUUAAUUUAGCGUAGUGGGAAACCAGGACCUUUACCUUGAAAAAAUUAGAGUGUUCAAAGCAGGCUUAUGUCUGAAUACAUUAGCAUGGAAUAAUAGAAUAGGACGGUGGUCCUGUUUUGUUGGUUUCUGAAUCACCGUAAUGAUUAAUAGGGAUAGUUGGGGGCAUUAGUAUUCAAUUGUCAGAGGUGAAAUUCUUGGAUUUAUUGAAGACUAACUUCUGCGAAAGCAUUUGCCAAGGAUGUUUUCAUUAAUCAAGAACGAAAGUUAGGGGAUCGAAGACGAUCAGAUACCGUCGUAGUCUUAACCAUAAACUAUGCCGACUAGGGAUCGGACGAUGUUAAUUUUUCUUGACUCGUUCGGCGCCUUACGGGAA